Molecule: small nuclear RNA, 103 nt
Organism: Diorhabda sublineata
Lineage: Eukaryota; Metazoa; Arthropoda; Insecta; Coleoptera; Chrysomelidae
Source: RefSeq, a predicted model, not a curated record
GUAAUUAUUUAAAUUUGCCCAUAUUACAUAUACUAAAAUUGGAAAAUUAGCAUGGCCCCUGCGCGACGAUGAUACGCAAUAUCGUGAAGAGUUCCACAUUUUU